Molecule: long non-coding RNA, 775 nt
Organism: Mercurialis annua (annual mercury)
Lineage: Eukaryota; Viridiplantae; Streptophyta; Magnoliopsida; Malpighiales; Euphorbiaceae
Exons: 3
Source: RefSeq, a predicted model, not a curated record
CUCUUUUCUUAACUUUCUCUUUUCACUUUUACUCCUUUUUUCCCUUGCCGUCACUGUGCUCAUUUCUGUAAACCAUUUUUUUCUCCUGACUAUUCUUCCGCUCGUCGUCUUCGUGUUUUUCCUGUAAAUCGUUUCCUUCGCCAUCUUUGUUCAUUCAAAGUUUCGCAAUUUGGAAACAAGAAAAGGUGACGAGGAUCAUGAUAUGGUGCUACAAAUGCAACGUUUACACUAGUUAACAAAUGUGAGUACACCAUAUGGCAUGGAACCUUAGGCACUCCAAAACUAGACUCGACAGGCUUUGAACUACCAGAAAGAACUUCCCGCUCCUUUCAAGGUCUGACAUGAUGGUCCAGUCGCUUAUGGGGAAGAACAAGGUGUAACUUCGACAGCUUCGGCCAAGGUUCCUGCUCUACCGUAGACUAUGGCUCGAGCCAACUUGAUUGCAAUGGAAACAACGCUACCCCACCGGCAACUUUAGUAGAAUCUACACCAACUACACUCAUAAGAAUGCUAUUUUUCACCUGCUCCGGAUAUAGCUCAAGGAAAAGCCCAAGCAUUCUAUUCAGUCUCCAACUUGCAAAGCAUUGUUGUUUCAACAAUCUAAUUGUGGAGUGCGAUGCUUUAAAUGUAAUUGAGCAUCUUCAAGGUGUAAUAAUCGACCUCUCUAACCGGGGCCUGAUUUUUUAUGAUAUUUUGCAGCUAGCUUGUAGUUUUACUAAUAUUAACUUUCUAUAUACUCGUAGAAACAACAAUAUCAACUUUGUAUAUUCAGCUA